Molecule: ribosomal RNA, 497 nt
Filed under: uncultured bacterium
Lineage: Bacteria
Description: partial 16S ribosomal RNA
Rfam family: Bacterial small subunit ribosomal RNA
Source: RNAcentral
GAUAAACGCUGGCGGCGUGCCUAAUACAUGCAAGUCGAGCGAACAGACGAGGAGCUUGCUCCUCUGACGUUAGCGGCGGACGGGUGAGUAACACGUGGAUAACCUACCUAUAAGACUGGGAUAACUUCGGGAAACCGGAGCUAAUACCGGAUAACAUGUUGAACCGCAUGGUUCAACAGUGAAAGACGGUCUUGCUGUCACUUAUAGAUGGAUCCGCGCCGCAUUAGCUAGUUGGUAAGGUAACGGCUUACCAAGGCAACGAUGCGUAGCCGACCUGAGAGGGUGAUCGGCCACACUGGAACUGAGACACGGUCCAGACUCCUACGGGAGGCAGCAGUAGGGAAUCUUCCGCAAUGGGCGAAAGCCUGACGGAGCAACGCCGCGUGAGUGAAGAAGGUCUUCGGAUCGUAAAACUCUGUUAUUAGGGAAGAACAAAUGUGUAAGUAACUAUGCACGUCUUGACGGUACCUAAUCAGAAAGCCACGGCUAACUACGUG